UUUAGCACCCAUCAUUGAUUAUUUGCUUGAAACUGUUCACCCGUUGGUACUUGCCAAAUAGCAGUUGUCCAUCUCGUCAUUAUUUCUGUACUUAUCAGUGGGGAUUCUAAUGUCAGGAAGAACUUACUUUUCCACUCAGAGAAAUUUAAUGAUUCGUAUUGGUAUGAACCCAUGCAUGUUCAUUAUAUGUGUAUUAUCGAUAACUGUGGUUAUCUUUUGCUCAGUUUUUUCUAGAUCUGGCCACUGGAUGCCUUUCAUUUUUUGAGCACUGCCUUACUUUUGGCACUACGAGAGACGCCAGGCUCCUCUGUGCCGUCCCUGCCCCAGCCUUGGAGUCAGCCACUGCUUCAGUGGACAUCUCGCCAGAAGCCCAAACACUGAAAUUAAUAACUAGGAACUUUCAUAGAAAACCAAAUUGAGGGACAUUCUCCAAAAUAACUGGUCAGUGCUCUUCAAAAAUGAAAGACAAAGCAAGACUGAGGAAUGAUCCCCGAUUAAAGGAGGCUAAGGGAUGUGGCGGGUAAAUGCAGGAUGGGACCCUGGACUGGAUUCUGAAUUGGAAAAGACACCAAAGGGUAGUUUUCCCAUUUAAGAGCCAAUGCUCCUUGAUUCAAGAAGGGAACAGCAAGAACAAAAGUUAACACCUCUUGAAGGUCUCCUAUGUUUGGAGAGCUAUUCCAAGUUGACUAAUGUGAUGUCCCCACUACUAGGUCACAUUGUCUCAAUUUAUCAGUGAGGAAACGGAUACAAAAAGGUCCUCCCUGUUACAUUGAACCCAAAAGGCAAGCAUGAAUUGAACCGUGAGACUUUGUGAUCUUUUCCAAAUAGGUGUGUGUGUGCGCGUGUGCGCGCGCGCGUGUGCACGCGCAUACAUGUCUAUAAC
Long non-coding RNA from Hyaena hyaena (striped hyena), 883 nucleotides. RefSeq lists it as uncharacterized. The transcript has 3 exons. NCBI's taxonomy places the organism in Eukaryota, Metazoa, Chordata, Mammalia, Carnivora, Hyaenidae. The record is from RefSeq and is a predicted model, not a curated record.